RNAcentral lists this long non-coding RNA (1052 nucleotides) under Monodelphis domestica (gray short-tailed opossum). RNAcentral describes it as "lncRNA (ENSMODG00000041346.1)". The record is from RNAcentral. Lineage: Eukaryota; Metazoa; Chordata; Mammalia; Didelphimorphia; Didelphidae.
AAGUCUGAGGUCAGAUUUAAACCCAAGUCCUCCUGAUUCAAAGGUCUCUCUAUCCACUUUGCUACCUGGCUUCCCCCCUCCACCCCCCCCAUUGUCCUUGCCCCUUAAGAUACAUUUAGAUCCUGAAUACACCAUCUUAUGUAUUGUCUGUUCCUUCUAAUUUUAUGCUGCCUCUAAAUGUUAUAAGAAAGUUUUGUUUUUUUUUAAAUCAACCACUAAUUAACAAAGCUAACAUUCAGACCCAGGUCUUCUGAGCCUUAUUCCAGUGUCUUUUAAUUCUUUCUUUUUUCUUUUCUUUUCUUUUCUUUUUUGGUUCUUAAUAUAUUUUAUUUGGGCUUUGAUAGUAUAGAUUUGGUUAAAUUCAGACUGAUCAUUCAUUCAUUAUGGACCAGUGAUGAUCUAUACAUUCUGUAAUUUAUUUGGCUCUUCUGCUGACUUUGGUGCAUUUUGUUUCCAGGAUUUAGUUAUCGUGCCACACCUAAUUUAGAAGACAGUUAAAAAUAUAGUUUUGCAAAAUGAGAAUCCCAAACAACUUGGGCUCAUGGAAUUUUUUCUGAUGUCUUCUUCACUAGGAAGCAUUUAAAAACAAUGCUGGGAAAUAAAAAGAAGAACCGCCCUAUUCGACUUUUCCAUGGAAGUACAUAGAGUACCCAGGAAGUGUGGCUGACAUUUAUCAUUAAUAACUUUUGUGCUUCCCAUUUAUUCACUGCCAAGUAAAGCCACCAUCACUCAAAUUCAGACUGCUGCCUAGUGCCAGGUGCAUGCAGACGAUAGGCGGAAAAGACCAAGAAAAACUAUUCGGACUCUGGGAGGGUCUGGAAAGUCACCGACUUUUACACUCUGUGCUCGCAGUGGGGACGUGUGGCUUCUGGCAAGCAAGCAUCAUCUCUAUCCUUGGUCAAGUGCCAUUGAUCUGCUUGGGGGAAUAGGCACCGCUGACACUCCAUCCUAAGGAACAAACUUGGACUGAGACACUAAGAAAGACAGUCAUUCUACCUGAGGGACCUCCAAUUCAUAAUAAAUGAUGUGGUUUAAAAGAGUAACUUUUGCCA